RNAcentral lists this ribosomal RNA (447 nucleotides) under uncultured bacterium. RNAcentral describes it as "bacterial SSU rRNA". It matches the Rfam family "Bacterial small subunit ribosomal RNA", at positions 330 to 793 of the family's 1533-position model. The record is from RNAcentral.
GCCAGACUCCUACGGGAGGCAGCAGUGGGGGAUAUUGCACAAUGGGGGGAACCCUGAUGCAGCGACGCCGCGUGGGUGAAGGAGCGUUUCGGCGCGUAAAGCCCUAUCGGCAGGGAAGAAGGAGGACGGUACCUGACUAAGAAGCCCCGGCUAACUACGUGCCAGCAGCCGCGGUGAUACGUAGGGGGCGAGCGUUAUCCGGAUUUACUGGGUGUAAAGGGAGCGUAGACGGUUCUGCAAGUCUGAAGUGAAAGCCCGUGGCUUAACCGCGGAACGGCUUUGGAAACUGUGGAACUGGAGUGCUGGAGAGGCAAGCGGAAUUCCUAGUGUAGCGGUGAAAUGCGUAGAUAUUAGGAGGAACACCAGUGGCGAAGGCGGCUUGCUGGACAGUAACUGACGUUGAGGCUCGAAAGCGUGGGGAGCAAACAGGAUUAGAUACCCCCGUAA